Molecule: ribosomal RNA, 784 nt
Filed under: uncultured bacterium
Lineage: Bacteria
Description: bacterial SSU rRNA
Rfam family: Bacterial small subunit ribosomal RNA
Source: RNAcentral
ACUUCUUUAUCACCGAGUGCUUGCACUCACCGAUAGAUAGUUGAGUGGCGAACGGGUGAGUAACACGUGGGCAACCUGCCCAAAAGAGGGGGAUAACACUUGGAAACAGGUGCUAAUACCGCAUAACCAUAGUUACCGCAUGGUAACUAUGUAAAAGGUGGCUAUGCUACCGCUUUUGGAUGGGCCCGCGGCGCAUUAGCUAGUUGGUGGGGUAAAGGCUUACCAAGGCAAUGAUGCGUAGCCGAACUGAGAGGUUGAUCGGCCACAUUGGGACUGAGACACGGCCCAAACUCCUACGGGAGGCAGCAGUAGGGAAUCUUCCACAAUGGGCGAAAGCCUGAUGGAGCAACGCCGCGUGGGUGAAGAAGGUCUUCGGAUCGUAAAACCCUGUUGUUAGAGAAGAAAGUGCGUGAGAGUAACUGUUCACGUUUCGACGGUAUCUAACCAGAAAGCCACGGCUAACUACGUGCCAGCAGCCGCGGUAAUACGUAGGUGGCAAGCGUUAUCCGGAUUUAUUGGGCGUAAAGGGAACGCAGGCGGUCUUUUAAGUCUGAUGUGAAAGCCUUCGGCUUAACCGGAGUAGUGCAUUGGAAACUGGGAGACUUGAGUGCAGAAGAGGAGAGUGGAACUCCAUGUGUAGCGGUGAAAUGCGUAGAUAUAUGGAAGAACACCAGUGGCGAAAGCGGCUCUCUGGUCUGUAACUGACGCUGAGGUUCGAAAGCGUGGGUAGCAAACAGGAUUAGAUACCCUGGUAGUCCACGCCGUAAACGAUGAAUGCUAAGUG